AUCAGAUGUGCCCAGAUGGGAUUAGCUUGUUGGUGAGGUAACGGCUCACCAAGGCGACGAUCCCUAGCUGGUCUGAGAGGAUGACCAGCCACACUGGAACUGAGACACGGUCCAGACUCCUACGGGAGGCAGCAGUGGGGAAUAUUGCACAAUGGGCGCAAGCCUGAUGCAGCCAUGCCGCGUGUAUGAAGAAGGCCUUCGGGUUGUAAAGUACUUUCAGCGGGGAGGAAGGUGUUGUGGUUAAUAACCGCAGCAAUUGACGUUACCCGCAGAAGAAGCACCGGCUAACUCCGUGCCAGCAGCCGCGGUAAUACGGAGGGUGCAAGCGUUAAUCGGAAUUACUGGGCGUAAAGCGCACGCAGGCGGUCUGUCAAGUCGGAUG
RNAcentral lists this ribosomal RNA (382 nucleotides) under Salmonella enterica. RNAcentral describes it as "bacterial SSU rRNA". It matches the Rfam family "Bacterial small subunit ribosomal RNA", at positions 220 to 594 of the family's 1533-position model. Lineage: Bacteria; Pseudomonadati; Pseudomonadota; Gammaproteobacteria; Enterobacterales; Enterobacteriaceae. The record is from RNAcentral.